UUAAAAGACCUAGCAAUAGGUAUGCUUAGGGAGGAGCUUGCGUCACAUUAGUUAGUUGGUGGGGUAAAGGCCUACCAAGACUAUGAUGUGUAGCCGGGCUGAGAGGUUGAACGGCCACAUUGGGACUGAGACACGGCCCAAACUCCUACGGGAGGCAGCAGUAGGGAAUUUUCGGCAAUGGAGGAAACUCUGACCGAGCAACGCCGCGUGAACGAUGAAGUAUUUCGGUACGUAAAGUUCUUUUAUUAGGGAAGAAUAAAUGAUGGAAAAAUCAUUCUGACGGUACCUAAUGAAUAAGCCCCGGCUAACUAUGUGCCAGCAGCCGCGGUAAUACAUAGGGGGCAAGCGUUAUCCGGAAUUAUUGGGCGUAAAGGGUGCGUAGGCGGUUAAAUAAGUUUAUGGUCUAAGUGCAAUGCUCAACAUUGUGAUGCUAUAAAAACUGUUUAGCUAGAGUAAGAUAGAGGCAAGUGGAAUUCCAUGUGUAGUGGUAAAAUGCGUAAAUAUAUGGAGGAACACCAGUAGCGAAGGCGGCUUGCUGGGUCUUUACUGACGCUGAGGCACGAAAGCGUGGGGAGCAAACAGGAUUAGAUACCCUGGUAGUCCACGCCGUAAACGAUGAGUACUAAACGUUGGGUAAAACCAGUGUUGAAGUUAACACAUUAAGUACUCCGCCUGAGUAGUACGUACGCAAGUAUGAAACUUAAAGGAAUUGACGGGACUCCGCACAAGCGGUGGAUCAUGUUGUUUAAUUCGAAGGUACCCGAAAAACCUCACCAGGUCUUGACAUGCUUCUGCAAAGCUGUAGAAACACAGUGGAGGUUAUCAGUUGCACAGGUGGUGCAUGGUUGUCGUCAGCUCGUGUCGUGAGAUGUUGGGUUAAGUCCCGCAACGAGCGCAACCCUUAUUGUUAGUUACCAGCACGUAAUGGUGGGGACUUUAGCAAGACUGCCAGUGAUAAAUUGGAGGAAGGUGGGGACGACGUCAAAUCAUCAUGCCCCUUAUGACCUGGGCUACAAACGUGAUACAAUGGCUGUUACAAAGGGUAGCUGAAGCGCAAGUUUUUGGCGAAUCUCAAAAAAACAGUCUCAGUUCGGAUUG
RNAcentral lists this ribosomal RNA (1098 nucleotides) under Aster yellows phytoplasma. RNAcentral describes it as "bacterial SSU rRNA". It matches the Rfam family "Bacterial small subunit ribosomal RNA", at positions 201 to 1300 of the family's 1533-position model. The record is from RNAcentral. Lineage: Bacteria; Bacillati; Mycoplasmatota; Mollicutes; Acholeplasmatales; Acholeplasmataceae.